GACGAACGCUGGCGGCGUGCUUAACACAUGCAAGUCGAACGGAAAGGCCCUGCUUUUGUGGGGUGCUCGAGUGGCGAACGGGUGAGUAACACGUGAGUAACCUGCCCUUGACUUUGGGAUAACUUCAGGAAACUGGGGCUAAUACCGGAUAGGAGCUCCUGCUGCAUGGUGGGGGUUGGAAAGUUUCGGCGGUUGGGGAUGGACUCGCGGCUUAUCAGCUUGUUGGUGGGGUAGUGGCUUACCAAGGCUUUGACGGGUAGCCGGCCUGAGAGGGUGACCGGCCACAUUGGGACUGAGAUACGGCCCAGACUCCUACGGGAGGCAGCAGUGGGGAAUAUUGCACAAUGGGCGGAAGCCUGAUGCAGCAACGCCGCGUGCGGGAUGACGGCCUUCGGGUGGAAAACCGCUUUCGCCUGUGACGAAGCGUGAGUGACGGUAAUGGGUAAAGAAGCACCGGCUAACUACGU
Molecule: ribosomal RNA, 467 nt
Filed under: uncultured bacterium
Lineage: Bacteria
Description: partial 16S ribosomal RNA
Rfam family: Bacterial small subunit ribosomal RNA
Source: RNAcentral